Molecule: ribosomal RNA, 567 nt
Filed under: uncultured bacterium
Lineage: Bacteria
Description: bacterial SSU rRNA
Rfam family: Bacterial small subunit ribosomal RNA
Source: RNAcentral
AAUGAACGCUGGCGGCGUGCUUAACACAUGCAAGUCGAACGAGAACAGCGGUCUUCGGACCGCCCAGUAAAGUGGCGCACGGGUGAGUAACGCGUGGGUAAUCUACCCUUUGGUCCUCGGAUAACGUUCCGAAAGGGACGCUAAUACGGGAUAAGACCACAGGGACUUCGGUCCCAGGGGUCAAAGGGGCUUUCGGGCCUUGCCAGGGGAUGAGCCUGCGUGACAUUAGAUUGACGGUGGGGUAACGGCCUACCGUAUUGUCUACGAUGUCUAGCUGGUCUGAGAGGAUGAUCAGCCACACUGGGACUGGAACACGGCCCAGACUCCUACGGGAGGCAGCAGUGAGGAAUUUUGCGCAAUGGGGGAAACCCUGACGCAGCAACGCCGCGUGAGUGAUGAAGGCCUUUUGGUUGUAAAGCUCUGUCGCCCGGGAAGAACCUUGGGGGUAGGAAAUGACUCUCAACUGACGGUACCGGGAAAGGAAGGACCGGCUAACUCCGUGCCAGCAGCCGCGGUAAUACGGGGGGUCCAAGCGUUAUUCGGAAUCAUUGGGCGUAAAGCGCAUGU